AACGAACGCUGGCGGCAUGCCUAACACAUGCAAGUCGAACGAGAUCCUCCGGGGUUUAGUGGCGCAUGGGUGCGUAACGCGUGGGAAUCUGCCCUUAGGUUCGGAAUAACAGUUAGAAAUGACUGCUAAUACCGGAUGAUGACGUUAAGUCUAAAGAUUUAUCGCCUGAGGAUGAGCCCGCGUAGGAUUCGCUAGUUGGUGUGGUAAAGGCGCACCAAGGCGACGAUCCUUAGCUGGGCUGAGAGGAUGAUCAGCCACACUGGGGCUGAGACACGGCCCAGAAUCCUACGGAAGGGAGCAGUGGGGAAUAUUGGACAAUGGGGGCAGGCCUGAUCCAGCAAUGCCGCGUAAGUGAUGAAGGCCGUAGGGUUGUAAUGCUGUUUUACCCGAGGUGAUAAUGACGGUAUCGGGAGAAUAAGCCCCGGCUAACUCCGUG
Molecule: ribosomal RNA, 436 nt
Filed under: uncultured bacterium
Lineage: Bacteria
Description: partial 16S ribosomal RNA
Rfam family: Bacterial small subunit ribosomal RNA
Source: RNAcentral